This is a long non-coding RNA of Halichondria panicea, 609 nucleotides long. RefSeq lists it as uncharacterized. The record is from RefSeq and is a predicted model, not a curated record. The transcript has 3 exons. NCBI's taxonomy places the organism in Eukaryota, Metazoa, Porifera, Demospongiae, Suberitida, Halichondriidae.
AGAACCAAAGAUAUAGGAGGGAAGGAUUGGCAACGGAAGUGGUUCACGUGAUCAUUUUACAUUUGUUUCUGCAGUUUUGUAAUGAAACCAUCCGUGACUCGCCUGUUUUCCUGCCAGAAUGCCCGCGAAAAGCAGAAAAAGUCUGUUAUGGUCUUCCUUUAGUGCCUCAUGACCUCUCAUGGUGUUACACUGAUGUUGUGCUUUAUUUAGAGUUAGAUUAUCUUGCCAGUUUGUAAAACUAAAGAAACAAAGACUUUUUACUACAGAAAAACUACAAUUUUACAAGUUGCAGAAAAUAUGACUGGAGGUGUAAGGCCUGAUUAUCGGCUUAUAUAGUAAGAAACAGAACUGGGAUAGAAAGCUCCAGUCAUACUAUUAGAUCUUCAUCGUACUAUCAGUAUGCUGGAAGAAAUUAUGAAGCUGAAGAAGGAAGAGUUGAUUGACUAUUUUGGGCUACAUAUAAAAAACGAAAUGAAAGACUUUGUUACAUGCAAAAGACCCAGUUGUAUAGCACCAGCUCUACCUCAUGCAGUAGCAGCAGUAGCAGUUCAUUAUGCAGCUUAUUAUGGCAGUUUAUAUGACUUGUGAAAUGUUGAUAAUUUAUUAAAA